Molecule: transfer RNA, 68 nt
Filed under: Lepidotrigona flavibasis
Lineage: Eukaryota; Metazoa; Arthropoda; Insecta; Hymenoptera; Apidae
Description: tRNA-Pro
Source: RNAcentral
CAGGAAAUAGUUUAUAUCAAAACAAUAAUUUUGGAGAUUGUAAAAAACUUUUAUUUAGUUUUUCCUGA